This is a long non-coding RNA of Mugil cephalus (flathead mullet), 411 nucleotides long. RefSeq lists it as uncharacterized. The record is from RefSeq and is a predicted model, not a curated record. The transcript is spliced from 4 exons. NCBI's taxonomy places the organism in Eukaryota, Metazoa, Chordata, Actinopteri, Mugiliformes, Mugilidae.
UGUGUGCGCUGUGUGUCCAUGGUUGAUAUGAAGUUGCAGCCAGCUGAUUUAGGCUUCGCACAAAGAUUGGAAACAGGUGGAGGUCACAGUAGUCAGACUACAGAGUAGUGUAGUCCAUCACAUAGUUCAGCUUCAUCAUGGCUGGGAACCUGCAGCUACUCAUCCUCAUGUGUUUCUUUCUCGAGCUCAAAGCACAAGACCUUCCUCCUCCUAAUUUGAUGGUGAAUCAACAGGAGAUUGAAGAAACAGACUCAGUGUUUCUCAACUGUCAGACUCCAUCAUCUGUUUCUGUGUCUCAUUGUUAUUUCAACUUUUUAAGAGACAAACCAGCCAUACAUUUCUCCUGUCAGAAGACACUUUCAGCAACUGGACUUCUGUCACUGACACAGCAACGUUCACCUGCUACAGUUG